This is a long non-coding RNA of Ahaetulla prasina, 552 nucleotides long. RefSeq lists it as uncharacterized. The record is from RefSeq and is a predicted model, not a curated record. The transcript is spliced from 4 exons. Lineage: Eukaryota; Metazoa; Chordata; Lepidosauria; Squamata; Colubridae.
GGCGCGAGUGACAUCAUCCCCGGCCGGGGCUGAGCGGCCGAAGCUCCUCCUGGCCGGCCCCCGCGGAGCGCUGACAGGCGGGGAGUGGCCCGCCAAGUCCCCGCCGAGACCGGCCCGUGACGGAGCGGCGUUAUACGGGAAGUCCUCGGGUUACGGCCAAACCCAUGUCGCUAAGCAAGACAUCAUUGGCCACCGGUUGGAGUCUGUGUAAAUCGCUACUCCUGAGUUUUCCAACAUUCUGGGUGUGCAACCAUGCAUUUCUUGAACUACUACUGCGGUAAUCCUCGACCUAUGGCCACAAUGGCGCCCCCCCAAAUGUUCUGCUCUUAAGUGAGACAUCUGUUAGGCGAGUUUUGCCCCCAUUUUUACGACCUUCCUUGCCGCCGUUUUUAAGUGAAUCCCCGCAGUUGACAAGCAAUGACCACAGGAAACAGGAGUCGCUAGUGAAGCCACAGGAUUUCGCUCACCGCCCCCAUAAAACAGCCGUUUCCAGGAAUGCGACGUUAUUCGGAACAAGAAAUCCACUGGCUGCAUCAAAUCUAAAGAAAAUUC